This 497-nucleotide ribosomal RNA is filed under the name uncultured bacterium. Its description in RNAcentral is "partial 16S ribosomal RNA". It matches the Rfam family "Bacterial small subunit ribosomal RNA", at positions 28 to 507 of the family's 1533-position model. The record is from RNAcentral.
GAUGAACGCUGGCGGCGUGCCUAAUACAUGCAAGUCGAGCGAACGGACGAGAGGCUUGCUUCUCUGAUGUUAGCGGCGGACGGGUGAGUAACACGUGGAUAACCUACCUAUAAGACUGGGAUAACUUCGGGAAACCGGAGCUAAUACCGGAUAAUAUUUUGAACCGCAUGGUUCAAAAGUGAAAGACGGUCUUGCUGUCACUUAUAGAUGGAUCCGCGCUGCAUUAGCUAGUUGGUAAGGUAACGGCUUACCAAGGCAACGAUGCAUAGCCGACCUGAGAGGGUGAUCGGCCACACUGGAACUGAGACACGGUCCAGACUCCUACGGGAGGCAGCAGUAGGGAAUCUUCCGCAAUGGGCGAAAGCCUGACGGAGCAACGCCGCGUGAGUGAUGAAGGUCUUCGUAUCGUAAAACUCUGUUAUUAGGGAAGAACAUAUGUGUAAGUAACUGUGCACAUCUUGACGGUACCUAAUCAGAAAGCCACGGCUAACUACGUG